UUGGUAGUAGUGAGUCUCCCAUACCCUACUAAGAGUUUCCUCCAAAACUCUCGAAUUCCAAUGAGGGAUAUGAAAUUUGCCAAAAAUAGUGGGUGGUGCUAUUUGAUUUAAAGACCCGGAUCAAAUGGCUUAAAAUCAAUCAAUUUAUAUUCGUUAUUUAUUUGUUUACCAAUAUAUUUGCAAACGCUAUCCAACACUUGACAAAUAAAAGCCGAAAGCUUUAGUUUCCGGACUUAGUACUACAAAACCAUAGAUUGUCUUUAAUGGCUUGUAAAUGUACCUAAGUAGUCUCAUCCUCACAAUCUUCCUAUUGAUAAUGUAUCAUUAGAAAAAUAUGUUAGAAAAGGUCUAUCAUAAAGAGGACAACACUUUUAAUGUCAUAAUUCUUCAAUUACAAAUUGUUGUAUGAAGAAAUAGGAGUUGCUUUGAACAACUCUUAGUCAAUGCAAACACUUAGUGCUUGUCUCUUUGUUACAUGAACAAGGAACUUGAGAAGAAAGCACAAAGGCAUGGACACUUAAUGUGCCAUGAUUCUUCACUUACAAUUUGUUGUAUGAAGAAAUAAGAGUUGCCUUGUACAACUCUUGAAAGUUUGUAAUUAUGUUUAGAACAUAAUGGUUGGUUGACAAAAAUAGUCCAUUAACAUGGACUUAUGAUGAUUUUGAAUCAUUGAGUGUUGAAGUGAUAAACCACUUAACGAGACAGAAACUAGGCAAGGACUUCACCUAUGUGUCCCUAUCCUAAUGGUUCACUAAGUUUAUUGUAAACUAUGUAGUGAACAAUAAACACAUGCUCUCCAAAAUGUUUGAUGUGUAUAACACAAUUGAAAUAAGUUUCAAGAGAGAUAGUGGGAGUUUAGGGACCAUGACUAAUGUAGUCAAAGGUGAAAGUCAAAA
Molecule: long non-coding RNA, 896 nt
Filed under: Malus domestica (apple)
Lineage: Eukaryota; Viridiplantae; Streptophyta; Magnoliopsida; Rosales; Rosaceae
Description: long non-coding RNA (MDOM_LNC007526)
Source: RNAcentral